AAAGAAACUAACAAGGAUUCCCCUAGUAACUGCGAGUGAAGCGGGAAAAGCUCAAAUUUAAAAUCUGGCAGUCUUUGAUUGUCCGAGUUGUAGUCUGGAGAAGCGUCUUCCGCGCUGGACCGUGCACAAGUCUCCUGGAACGGAGCGUCAUAGAGGGUGAGAAUCCCGUCUUUGGCACGGACUACCAGUGCUUUGUGAUGCGCUCUCAACGAGUCGAGUUGUUUGGGAAUGCAGCUCAAAAUGGGUGGUAUACUCCAUCUAAAGCUAAAUAUUGGCGAGAGACCGAUAGCGAACAAGUACCGUGAGGGAAAGAUGAAAAGCACUUUGGAAAGAGAGUUAAACAGUACGUGAAAUUGCUGAAAGGGAAACGCUUGAAGUCAGUCGCGUUUGCUAGAACUCAGCCUUACCUCGGUUUGGUGCAUUUUCUAGUAGACGGGCCAGCAUCAUUUUUGGCUGCGGGAUAAAGGUUUCAGGAAUGUGGCACCUUCGGGUGUGUUAUAGCCUGGGAUUGUAUACCGUGGCUGGGAGUGAGGACCGCAGCACGCCAUUAUGGCCGGGGUUCGCCCACGUUCGUGCUUAGGAUGCUGG
This 588-nucleotide ribosomal RNA is filed under the name Alboefibula bambusicola. RNAcentral describes it as "Phanerochaetaceae sp. CCC-2021a partial large subunit ribosomal RNA". It matches the Rfam family "Eukaryotic large subunit ribosomal RNA", at positions 58 to 629 of the family's 3401-position model. Lineage: Eukaryota; Fungi; Basidiomycota; Agaricomycetes; Polyporales; Phanerochaetaceae. The record is from RNAcentral.